This 482-nucleotide ribosomal RNA is filed under the name uncultured bacterium. RNAcentral's name for it is "partial 16S ribosomal RNA". It matches the Rfam family "Bacterial small subunit ribosomal RNA", at positions 28 to 523 of the family's 1533-position model. The record is from RNAcentral.
GACGAACGCUGGAGGCGUGCUUAACACAUGCAAGUCGAACGAUGAAAUGGAGCUUGCUCCAUGGAUUAGUGGCGAACGGGUGAGUAACACGUGAAUAACCUGCCCUUAAUUUUGGAAUAACCCAGGGAAACCUGGGCUAAUACCGGAUAAGUAAACCUGUGGCAUCACAUGGUUUUGGAAAGUUUUUCGAUUAAGGAUGGAUUCGCGGCCUAUCAGCUUGUUGGUGAGGUAAUGGCUCACCAAGGCGACGACGGGUAGCCGGCCUGAGAGGGUGGACGGCCACACUGGGACUGAGACACGGCCCAGACGCCUACGGGAGGCAGCAGUGGGGAAUAUUGCGCAAUGGACGAAAGUCUGACGCAGCGACGCCUCGUGAGGGACGAAGGUCUUCGGAUUGUAAACCUCUUUCAGCAGGGACGAAGCGAAAGUGACGGUACCUGCAGAAGAAGCACUGGCUAACUAUGUGCCAGCCGCCGCAGUAA